CUGGUUGUUCCCCAAUCUUCUUGUCCACUACCUCUCCGCUGCUAACACAUGCCUGCCGGCUCGCCGCCUGGACAUCGGGACGAGCUCUGCGGCCGCUCGAGCAAUGCAAGUCAUGUGGUCUCGGUAGCACGGGGGAGCAUCUCCUCAGCCGUGUAAGAUCUAGCGGCACGCAGAUUGGACGGACCUUGCAGGCCAACGCGGCGGCCAUGGUGCGCGGAGGAGUAAGCGCCCGUCCAAUCGCCGUCCUCCUUGUCCGUGCCUCCCUCGAAGCUGCCAAAGAUGAGAGCGCCCCCGAUGGAUUGAAGAGUCCUGUGUCAUCUCCUCCUGAUUGGUCCUAUGUUUGUCACCUGCUGGCUAACAGAUCGGAGCCAUGGCCUUGGCCAGACGGAGGCUCAGACAUCGCUAACGCCGUCGCUCUCUGGGAGGCUUCUCCAUGCUUGUUGGAGACAGCCACCACGGUUGCCCUCUUCGUCGGGAUGAUCUGCCACUCUGCUUGCUGCACUUCCUCUACUGCUCUGCCGUCCGCUGCCGCUUCCUCGCCCAGGCUUUCACUAUCCACUGUUGCCGGUAUGUCACUAUGCUGCUUGGUCAUUUAGACACUGGUACAGGCAUCUGAGAAGCUGGUCUUGCUGCUCAGCCCGCUUCCAUUAGAGGGCGUAGAUCGAGGAAGCCAUCACGGUCCUCGGAAUACUGGUUUUUAUUUUCUUUUUCAGUGCAGAGGAAAGAGAAGCAAGUAAGCAACGAUUCAGUGAUCCACACUUCCAUAGCUCAGGUGCUUCCUUAUCUUUCUGGCUGUGGCAAAUGCAGCCUUCCUGCUUGAACUAAGCUUGCAAUCAAGUUUCUAGAUGCAAGAUAACCUAAGUUUACUUUGAUACAUUCAGCAGUGUGACAUGUGCUUCUUAUUUCCAUCAAUAGAAUUAUAUUUCAUUAUUGUACCAUAUAGCUACUGUAAUUUUAGACCUUUAUCACCGACUUCCAUCACUGCAGGUUAUAAUGUUCACGUGCUCAACUGCAGUUAGUCAUGUUGGCUGCUAGCAGCUAUGAAAAUGCCUCAGUGUGCGCCAAGGUAAAGUGGUUGCUAAAAAUCCCUACUUUCCUUAUAUCUGCAAGGCCAGUUUCAUGUCCAGCUAUUUUUUAUCAGGCUGACACUCGGUAAUUCUGUCUAAUUAGUAUUAGCACUGCCAUACCAAUAUAGCUACUUAUGCAGACAUUUCCAUUUGUGUAUAUCUAUGUGGCAGUAAUGUUUUUCCUUCCCUAAUUAUCCUUGCUCAGGUUUACAUAACUCUAUUAUUUGAGGAACUCUAUAGGACCUGGUUUCUUGCAUUGCAAUUUGUUUAUACGGUGCCACUCCAAAAGAGGCACAUUGGUUGGGGAAGGAGACAGUUCCAUAGCAAUCAUCCAGGUCAUUCUGUUAAUCUUCUUGGUUCUCCUCUUGAAUGCACCUUAUCAUCUCUUAAGGCUGCUCAUGGUGUUGCACUAUGUCACAGGACAUCAUAGAGACAGGCAACAAACAUCUCCACUCUAAUUAAGUUAGUUAAUGAGCAAUCUGACUAAACUUGAUAGGAGUGCAAUAUAGGAUGUUAGUGUCCUGUUUUGAGUACAUUCACACUGAACAGUUCUUCAGGUUUUUGGUUAUGAAGUUUCAAAACAGGCGACACAUUAUUAUGGUGCUUAAACUGCUGGCUUGCUGCAUAAUGUAUUUAAGUUAGCUCCAUACAAGAUUUUAUGGUAGUGCUCAAGUUCGGUUAUGCAAAUUGCAAGCAAAUCCUAUUAAGAGAGGAGAAAAAAAUUAAGGCAGACACAAGUUUCAUGUGUAUAUCAGUUGAAACUUUUAGUUUAUUGAGCUUCCUAGCUAGAAUUUAUUUCUUUUUAAAUAAAGGUUUGCUAGAAAGUGUUUACUCUAUUAGACAUUGUAUUGGAUAUAUUUUAUCUGAAGAUUAUACACUACCUGAAGAUUGUUUUCUAAAGACAAGUAUAUUGAAAUAUGUACUUGGUGAUAGCUUAAGCUCCUAAACUAAGCGAUGGACAAAUGAAAGUAUUAAAACUAGGUAAUGACAGUGUCUUCUCAUAUCCAUUCCCCAUCAGAAGCAUCACCCUAGCAAAUACUUCUUUAUAAAUGUUUCCCAUAUUUUUUCCCAAUGGUUGUAGCUGGUGGCUCCUAUACAACCAAUGAACCAAUGCACAGAAGAGUACUUAAAGGAAGAGGUUCGCCUGGCACAAGCUCUUUUCCUCGCAAGAAAUAUAGUGCUUGAUGGUUUAUUGUCAAAAUCAGUCCGAAUGCCAAAUUGUUUAGGUGCCCUCAUUACUGUACCAAAUAGCGCAUGUGGUUGUUCCCUUUACAGUUCAAGCAAAGUAGGAUGCUUAGUCAUAAAAAGAGGAUUGUAGUUUGGGAUCAUUCUGCCAGCAUGAUACUGCUCCAUUGUUCUUGUGGUUUCUGUAUUGUGAAAGGCAUAAUUAUUCUGAUCUAACUGCUUGUGCUGCUUAACUAUUCUAUUGAUCUA
This is a long non-coding RNA of Panicum virgatum (switchgrass), 2501 nucleotides long. RefSeq lists it as uncharacterized. NCBI's taxonomy places the organism in Eukaryota, Viridiplantae, Streptophyta, Magnoliopsida, Poales, Poaceae. The transcript has 4 exons. The record is from RefSeq and is a predicted model, not a curated record.